This 162-nucleotide small RNA is filed under the name Pongo abelii (Sumatran orangutan). Its description in RNAcentral is "processed transcript". The record is from RNAcentral. Lineage: Eukaryota; Metazoa; Chordata; Mammalia; Primates; Hominidae.
CCAGCCCCCAUAUCCCUGGAGACAGAGCCCAAAGUGGGCUGGCUGGCGAGGGUGCAGUGCUCCUGGAGGAGCUGGUCACUGCCUGGUACAUCGGCUUCCUGUGUCUCAUCCUGGCCUCGUUCCUGGUGUACUUGGCAGAGAAGGGAGAGAACGACCACUUUG